This 424-nucleotide ribosomal RNA is filed under the name uncultured bacterium. RNAcentral's name for it is "partial 16S ribosomal RNA". It matches the Rfam family "Bacterial small subunit ribosomal RNA", at positions 360 to 776 of the family's 1533-position model. The record is from RNAcentral.
AAUUUUCGACAAUGGGGGAAACCCUGAUCCAGCGAUGCCGCGUGCAGGAUGAAGGCCUUCGGGUUGUAAACUGCUUUCGUACGGAACGAAAAGUCUUGGGCUAAUACCCUGGGGUCAUGACGGUACCGUAAGAAUAAGCACCGGCUAACUCCGUGCCAGCAGCCGCGGUAAUACGGAGGGUGCAAGCGUUAAUCGGAAUUACUGGGCGUAAAGCGUGCGCAGACGGUUUUGUAAGACAGUGGUGAAAUCCCCGGGCUCACCCUGGGAACUGCCAUUGUGACUGCAAGGAUGGAGUGCGGCAGAGGGGGAUGGAAUUCCGCGUGUAGCAGUGAAAUGCGUAGAUAUGCGGAGGAACACCGAUGGCGAAGGCAAUCCCCUGGGCCUGCACUGACGCUCAUGCACGAAAGCGUGGGGAGCAAACAGG